RNAcentral lists this ribosomal RNA (1357 nucleotides) under uncultured bacterium. Its description in RNAcentral is "bacterial SSU rRNA". It matches the Rfam family "Bacterial small subunit ribosomal RNA", at positions 38 to 1384 of the family's 1533-position model. The record is from RNAcentral.
AGCGGCAGGCUUAACACAUGCAAGUCGAGGGGCAUCGGGGAGGAAGCUUGCUUUCUCCGCCGGCGACCGGCGCACGGGUGAGUAACACGUAUGCAACCUGCCCCUGUCAGGGGGACAACCCGCCGAAAGGCGGGCUAAACCCGCGUACAUGCCACCGGGGCAUCCCGGAGGCAGGAAAGGCUUCGGCCGGACAGGGAUGGGCAUGCGGCGCAUUAGGCAGUAGGCGGGGUAACGGCCCACCUAACCGACGAUGCGUAGGGGUUCUGAGAGGAAGGUCCCCCACACUGGUACUGAGACACGGACCAGACUCCUACGGGAGGCAGCAGUGAGGAAUAUUGGUCAAUGGUCGGGAGACUGAACCAGCCAAGCCGCGUGAGGGAGGAAGGUACAGAGUAUCGUAAACCUCUUUUGUCAGGGAACAAAGACUGGGACGCGUCCCCGGAUGAGUGUACCUGAAGAAAAAGCAUCGGCUAACUCCGUGCCAGCAGCCGCGGUAAUACGGAGGAUGCGAGCGUUAUCCGGAUUUAUUGGGUUUAAAGGGUGCGCAGGCGGUCUGUUAAGUCAGCGGUCAAAGCCCGGGGCUCAACCCCGGCCCGCCGUUGAAACUGGCAGUCUCGAGUUGGAGAGAAGUAUGCGGAAUGCGCGGUGUAGCGGUGAAAUGCAUAGAUAUCGCGCAGAACUCCGACUGCGAAGGCAGCAUGCCGGCUCCACACUGACGCUGAGGCACGAAAGCGUGGGUAUCGAACAGGAUUAGAUACCCUGGUAGUCCACGCAGUAAACGAUGAAUGCUGGCUGUCCGGGGGGACUGACCCCUGGGUGGCGAAGCGAAAGCGAUAAGCAUUCCACCUGGGGAGUACGCCGGCAACGGUGAAACUCAAAGGAAUUGACGGGGGCCCGCACAAGCGGAGGAACAUGUGGUUUAAUUCGAUGAUACGCGAGGAACCUUACCCGGGCUCAAACGGGGAGUGCCGCAGGCAGAGACGCCUGUUUCCCACGGGACACUCCCCGAGGUGCUGCAUGGUUGUCGUCAGCUCGUGCCGUGAGGUGUCGGCCUAAGUGCCAUAACGAGCGCAACCCCCGCGUGCAGUUGCUAACAGAUAACGCUGAGGACUCUGCACGGACUGCCGGCGCAAGCCGCGAGGAAGGCGGGGAUGACGUCAAAUCAGCACGGCCCUUACGUCCGGGGCGACACACGUGUUACAAUGGGUGGUACAGCGGGAAGCCAGGCGGCGACGCCGAGCGGAACCCGAAAUCCACUCUCAGUUCGGAUCGGAGUCUGCAACCCGACUCCGUGAAGCUGGAUUCGCUAGUAAUCGCGCAUCAGCCAUGGCGCGGUGAAUACGUUCCCGGGCCUUGC